UAGCUAGUUGGUGAGGUAAAGGCUUACCAAGGCGACGAUCUGUAGCGGGUCUGAGAGGAUGAUCCGCCACACUGGAACUGAGACACGGUCCAGACUCCUACGGGAGGCAGCAGUGGGGAAUUUUGGACAAUGGGGGCAACCCUGAUCCAGCCAUGCCGCGUGAGUGAAGAAGGCCUUCGGGUUGUAAAGCUCUUUCGGCCGGGAAGAAAUCGCAUGGGCCAAUACCCUGUGGAUGACGGUACCGGAAUAAGAAGCACCGGCUAACUACGUGCCAGCAGCCGCGGUAAUACGUAGGGUGCGAGCGUUAAUCGGAAUUACUGGGCGUAAAGCGUGCGCAGGCGGUUUUGUAAGACAGGCGUGAAAUCCCCGGGCUUAACCUGGGAACUGCGUUUGUGACUGCAAGGCUAGAGUACGGCAGAGGGGGGUGGAAUUCCACGUGUAGCAGUGAAAUGCGUAGAGAUGUGGAGGAACACCAAUGGCGAAGGCAGCCCCCUGGGUCGAUACUGACGCUCAUGCACGAAAGCGUGGGUAGCAAACAGGAUUAGAUACCCUGGUAGUCCACGCCCUAAACUAUGUCAACUAGGUGUUGGGUGGGUAAAACCAUUUAGUACCGUAGCUAACGCGUGAAGUUGACCGCCUGGGGAGUACGGCCGCAAGGUUAAAACUCAAAGGAAUUGACGGGGACCCGCACAAGCGGUGGAUGAUGUGGAUUAAUUCGAUGCAACGCGAAAAACCUUACCUACCCUUGACAUGCCAGGAACUUGCCAGAGAUGGCUUGGUGCCCGAAAGGGAGCAUGGACACAGGUGCUGCAUGGCUGUCGUCAGCUCGUGUCGUGAGAUGUUGGGUUAAGUCCCGCAACGAGCGCAACCCUUGUCGUUAAUUGCCAUCAUUUAGUUGGGCACUUUAACGAGACUGCCGGUGACAAACCGGAGGAAGGUGGGGAUGACGUCAAGUCCUCAUGGCCCUUAUGGGUAGGGCUUCACACGUCAUACAAUGGUCGGUACAAAGGGUUGCCAAGCCGCGAGGCGGAGCCAAUCCCAGAAAGCCGAUCGUAGUCCGGAUUGCAGGCUGCAACUCGCCUGCAUGAAGUCGGAAUCGCUAGUAAUCGUGGAUCAGCAUGUCACGGUGAAUACGUUCCCGGGUCUUGUACACACCGCCCGUCACACCAUGGGAGCGGGCUCCGCCAGAAGUAGGUAGCCUAACCGCAAGGGGGGCGCUUACCACGGCGGGGUUCGUGACUGGGGUGAAGUCGUAACAAGGUAGCCGUAGGGGAACCUGCGGCUG
RNAcentral lists this ribosomal RNA (1285 nucleotides) under metagenome. RNAcentral describes it as "bacterial SSU rRNA". It matches the Rfam family "Bacterial small subunit ribosomal RNA", at positions 242 to 1520 of the family's 1533-position model. The record is from RNAcentral.